AACGAACGCUGGCGGCAUGCCUAACACAUGCAAGUCGAACGAGACCUUCGGGUCUAGUGGCGCACGGGUGCGUAACGCGUGGGAACCUGCCCUUAGGUUCGGAAUAACUCCCCGAAAGGGGUGCUAAUACCGGAUAAUGUCUUCGGACCAAAGAUUUAUCGCCUUUGGAUGGGCCCGCGUUGGAUUAGCUAGUUGGUAGGGUAAAAGCCUACCAAGGCGACGAUCCAUAGCUGGUCUGAGAGGAUGAUCAGCCACACUGGGACUGAGACACGGCCCAGACUCCUACGGGAGGCAGCAGUGGGGAAUAGUGGACAAUGGGCGAAAGCCUGAUCCAGCAAUGCCGCGUGAGUGAUGAAGGCCUUAGGGUUGUAAAGCUAUUUUACCCGGGAUGAUAAUGACAGUACCGGGAGAAUAAGCGCCGGCUAACUCCGUG
RNAcentral lists this ribosomal RNA (433 nucleotides) under uncultured bacterium. Its description in RNAcentral is "partial 16S ribosomal RNA". It matches the Rfam family "Bacterial small subunit ribosomal RNA", at positions 29 to 507 of the family's 1533-position model. The record is from RNAcentral.